GGAUGAGCUGUGGGUAGGGGUGAAAGGCCAAUCAAACUGGGAAAUAGCUCGUACUCCCCGAAAUGCUUUUAGGAGCAGCGUGUGGCAUGAGUGUAUAAGAGGUAGAGCUACUGGUUGGGCUAGGGGGAGUCACAUCCUACCAAACCCUAUCAAACUCCGAAUGCUUAUACAUGUUUCCACGCAGUGAGGGUAUGGGUGCUAAGGUCCAUAUCCAAGAGGGAAAGAACCCAGAGCAUCAGCUAAGGUCCCCAAGUGUAUACUAAGUUGAGAAAAUGUGGUGUGAUUGCUUAGACAGCCAGGAUGUUGGCUUGGAAGCAGCCAUUCAUUUAAAGAGUGCGUAACAGCUCACUGGUCGAGCGAUCGCGCGCAGAUAAUGAUCGGGCAUCAAGUAUACCACCGAAGCUAUGCCUUGUACUCUGUACAGGGGUAGGGGAGCAUUCCAAUUGCGGCGAAGUUUUGCCGUAAGGCAUUGUGGAGCGAUUGGAAAAGAAAAUGUAGGCAUAAGUAACGAUAAUGAAGAUGAGAAAUCUUCACACCGCAAGACUAAGGUUUCCACAGCUAUGUUAAUCAUCUGUGGGUUAGCCGGGACCUAACGCGUACCCGAAAGGGGAAGUGGAUGGCAAUCAGGUUAAUAUUCCUGAGCCAGUCAGGUAGUGACGGAGAGACGUGGCAGCUACGGGGUGACGGAAGUCCCCGUUGAGCCUAGGCGCUUGCGCCGAAGCGAAGUUGUAAAAUCUCUUCCAAGAAAAGCUCUGACAUAGCCCGUACCGUAAACCGACACAGGUAGUCGAGGAGAGUAUCCUAAGGUGCUCGAGUGAUCCGUGGUUAAGGAACUAGGCAAAUUAGCCCUGUAACUUCGGGAGAAAGGGCCCCCGCUUCGGCGGGGCGCAGUGAAAUGGCCCAGGCGACUGUUUAGCAAAAACACAGGACUAUGCUAAGUUGAAAGACGCAGUAUAUGGUCUGACACCUGCCCGGUGCUGGAAGGUUAAGUGGAGAUGUCAUCUUCGGAGAAGCAUUGAAAUGAAGCCCCAGUAAACGGCGGCCGUAACUAUAACGGUCCUAAGGUAGCGAAAUUCCUUGUCGGGUAA
This 1088-nucleotide ribosomal RNA is filed under the name Nephroselmis pyriformis. RNAcentral's name for it is "partial Bacterial large subunit ribosomal RNA". It matches the Rfam family "Bacterial large subunit ribosomal RNA", at positions 802 to 1979 of the family's 2925-position model. The record is from RNAcentral. Lineage: Eukaryota; Viridiplantae; Chlorophyta; Nephroselmidophyceae; Nephroselmidales; Nephroselmidaceae.